This 279-nucleotide ribosomal RNA is filed under the name uncultured Burkholderia sp. RNAcentral describes it as "partial 16S ribosomal RNA". It matches the Rfam family "Bacterial small subunit ribosomal RNA", at positions 207 to 477 of the family's 1533-position model. Lineage: Bacteria; Pseudomonadati; Pseudomonadota; Betaproteobacteria; Burkholderiales; Burkholderiaceae. RNAcentral also lists the same sequence under 1 other name. The record is from RNAcentral.
AGGGCCUCGCGCUCAAGGGGCGGCCGAUGGCAGAUUAGCUAGUUGGUAGGGUAAAGGCCUACCAAGGCGACGAUCUGUAGCUGGUCUGAGAGGACGACCAGCCACACUGGGACUGAGACACGGCCCAGACUCCUACGGGAGGCAGCAGUGGGGAAUUUUGGACAAUGGGGGCAACCCUGAUCCAGCAAUGCCGCGUGUGUGAAGAAAGGCCUUCGGGUUGUAAAGCACUUUUGUCCGGAAAGAAAACGGCCUGGUUAAUACCUGGGCUGGAUGACGGUA